GACGAACGCUGGCGGCGUGCUUAACACAUGCAAGUCGAACGGAAAGGCCCUGCUUUUGUGGGGUGCUCGAGUGGCGAAGGGGUGCGUAACACGUGAGUAACCUGCCCUUGACUUUGGGAUAACUUCAGGAAACUGGGGCUAAUACCGGAUAGGAGCCCCUGCUGCAUGGAGGGGGUUGGAAAGUUUCGGCGGUUGGGGAUGGACGCGCGGCUUACCAGCUUGUUGGUGGGGUAGUGGCUUACCAAGGCUUUGACGGGUAGCCGGCCUGGGAGGGUGACCGGCCACCUUGGGCCUGAGAUACGGCCCAGUCUCCUACGGGAGGCAGCAGUGGGGAAUAUUGCACAAUGGGCGGAAGCCUGAUGCAGCAACGCCGCGUUCGUGAUGACGGCCUUCGGGUUGUAAACCGCUUUCGCCUGUGACGAAGCGUUAGUGACGGUAAUGGGUAAAGAAGCACCGGCUAACUACGUG
Molecule: ribosomal RNA, 468 nt
Filed under: uncultured bacterium
Lineage: Bacteria
Description: partial 16S ribosomal RNA
Rfam family: Bacterial small subunit ribosomal RNA
Source: RNAcentral